CUCGUAGGCGGUUUGUCGCGUCGGGAGUGAAAUCCACUGGCUUAACUGGUGCUUGCGUUUCGAUACGGGCAGACUGGAGGUAUGCAGGGGAGAACGGAAUUCCUGGUGUAGCGGUGAAAUGCGCAGAUAUCAGGAGGAACACCGGUGGCGAAGGCGGUUCUCUGGGCAUGUCCUGACGCUGAGGAGCGAAAGUGUGGGGAGCGAACA
Molecule: ribosomal RNA, 207 nt
Filed under: uncultured bacterium
Lineage: Bacteria
Description: partial 16S ribosomal RNA
Rfam family: Bacterial small subunit ribosomal RNA
Source: RNAcentral